UACAGAGGGGGCAAGCGUUGUUCGGAAUUACUGGGCGUAAAGGGCGCGUAGGCGGCCUGUUAAGUCGAACGUGAAAUCCCCGGGCUCAACCCGGGAACUGCGUCCGAUACUGGCAGGCUUGAAUCCGGGAGAGGGAUGCGGAAUUCCAGGUGUAGCGGUGAAAUGCGUAGAUAUCAGGAGGAACACCGGUGGCGAAGGCGGGUCUCUGGGCCGAUACUGACGCUGAGGAGCGAAAGCAUGGGUAGCGAACAGG
RNAcentral lists this ribosomal RNA (253 nucleotides) under uncultured bacterium. RNAcentral's name for it is "partial 16S ribosomal RNA". It matches the Rfam family "Bacterial small subunit ribosomal RNA", at positions 524 to 776 of the family's 1533-position model. The record is from RNAcentral.